Girardinichthys multiradiatus is the source of this 2380-nucleotide long non-coding RNA. RefSeq lists it as uncharacterized. NCBI's taxonomy places the organism in Eukaryota, Metazoa, Chordata, Actinopteri, Cyprinodontiformes, Goodeidae. The record is from RefSeq and is a predicted model, not a curated record. The transcript is spliced from 2 exons.
UCAUCAGCAGGCAUAGGGCCCCGAGCAGAUUCGACCACCCGAGCAGAUCUGGUACCUUCACUGUCUCUCACAUGAACAGUUAUAAAAUUUAGCCCAUAUAUUCAAUACUCUAGACAUUUAUUUUUAACUUAGUGUCAGUUAGUGUCAGUUACAAAUAUAUGUUGUUGCUCAGACAGGGCCUAAGCCAAGCCGACAGAGGUGGUUCUCUAGAGAGAACCAAUAUUGCUUUGAUCAUUUUUCAGGUGUACCUGCAAAGAAGAGAAAGUUAGUAAACAAAUGAGCACAGAGGCGCUGCUUUUAUAGAGGCCGUAUGCAAAUGAGACUAUGCCAUUGCCUGCUUCUGAUUGGCUCUAGUAGGGGGAUCAAAGUCAUUGCUGGCUCUGAUGUCACUCUGUGACAUGUGGUUGAGUUCUUUAAUACAUAUCACUGGAUUGGAUAUCACAUGACUGUCACAUGACACGGGUGCAUUGUUGCUGUGCAACAACUCAGGACUGCUGCAGUAGCAGCGUCAGAAGUACACAAAACUGAUUCUUUAUGAAACUAGGUUGUUCACGGUGUGUGUCUGGAACUAUUACUUGUUAGACCAAAUAUCACUUAUACCUUAACAUGCCAUAAAACCAAAUAUAUUAUUCCACAUAUCAGUUCCAGUGUUUACAUAUCUCAGUUGAUACAAGUAUUAAUAAAAGGCAGUGACCUACCACCCUAAAGUCCAGACACUUAACAUAAAACCCCACACUUCAUUAAUUCUGCACACGGAUUCUGCUAUCGGGACUUUUAGAAGUGGUGGUUAGGCUGUGGUAAGUUCCUUUCGAAGGUUAAUGGGAGAUCUCUUUCAAAAGUUGUCCAUGUUUUGUACAAACCGCAAUCCCCCACAAAGAUACGUCAGUAGGUUGUCCGGACCAACCACAAUGUUUUACGUCAUCGUAAAACCAAUAUUCAGCCAAUCAGAUAGUGUGACGUCAUCAGCAGGCAUAGGGCCCCGAGCUGAUUCGACCACCCGAGCAGAUCUGGUACCAUCACUGUCUCUCACAUGAACAGUUAUAAAAUUUGGCCUAUAUUUUCAAUACUCUAGACAUUUAUUUUUAACUUAGUGUCAGUUACAAAUAUAUGUUGUUGCUCAGACAGGGCCUAAGCCAAGCCGACAGAGGUGGUUCUCUAGAGAGAACCAAUAUUGCUUUGAUCAUUUUUGAGGUGUACCUGCAAAGAAGAGAAAGUUAUUGAACAAAUGAGCACAGAGGCGCUGCUUUUAUAGAGGCCGUAUGCAAAUGAGACUAUGCCAUUGCCUGCUUCUGAUUGGCUCUAGUCAGGGGAUCAAAGUCAUUGCUGGCUCUGAUGUCACUCUGUGACAUGUGGUUGAGUUCUUUAAUACAUAUCACUGGAUUGGAUAUCACGUGACUGUCACAUGACACGGGUGCAUUGUUGCUAUGCAACCACUCAGGACUGCUGCAGAAGCAGAGUCAGAAGUACACAAAACUGAUUCUUUAUGAAACUAGGUUGUUUACGGUGUGUGUCUGGAACUAUUACUUGUUAGACCAAAUAUCACUUAUACCUUAACAUGCCAUAAAACCAAAUAUAUUAUUCCACAUAUCAGUUCCAGUGUUUACAUAUCUCCGUUGAUAGAAAUAUUAAUAAAAGGCAGUAACCUACCACCCUAAAGUCCAAACACUUAACAUAAAACCCCACACUUCAUUAAUUCUGCACACGGAUUCUGCUAUCGGGACUUUUAGAAGUGGUGGUUAGGCUGUGUUAAGUUCCUUUCGAAGGUUAACGGGAGAUCUCUUUCAAAAGUUGUCCAUGUUUUGUACAAACCGCAAUCCCCCACAAAGAUACGUCAGUAGGUUCUCCGGACCAACCACAAUGUUUUACGUCUUCGUAAAACCAAUAUUCAGCCAAUCAGAUAGUGUGACGUCAUCAGCAGGCAUAGGGCCCCGAGCAGAUUCGACCACCCGAGCAGAUCUGGUACCUUCACUGUCUCUCACAUGAACAGUUAUAAAAUUUAGCCCAUAUAUUCAAUACUCUAGACAUUUAUUUUUAACUUAGUGUCAGUUAGUGUCAGUUACAAAUAUAUGUUGUUGCUCAGACAGGGCCUAAGCCAAGCCGACAGAGGUGGUUCUCUAGAGAGAACCAAUAUUGCUUUGAUCAUUUUUGAGGUGUACCUGCAAAGAAGAGAAAGUUAGUAAACAAAUGAGCACAGAGGCGCUGCUUUUAUAGAGGCCGUAUGCAAAUGAGACUAUGCCAUUGCCUGCUUCUGAUUGGCUCUAGUCGGGGGAUCAAAGUCAUUGCUGGCUCUGAUGUCACUCUGUGACAUGUGGUUGAGUUCUUUAAUACAUAUCACUGGAUUGGAUAUCACAUGACUGUCACAUGACACGGGUGCAUUGUU